Molecule: ribosomal RNA, 507 nt
Filed under: uncultured bacterium
Lineage: Bacteria
Description: bacterial SSU rRNA
Rfam family: Bacterial small subunit ribosomal RNA
Source: RNAcentral
AGCCAUGCCGCGUGUGUGAAGAAGGCCCUCGGGGUUGUAAAGCACUUUAAGCGAGGAGGAAGGUCAUCAUACUAAUAUUAUGAUGAAUUGACGUUACUCGCAGAAUAAGCACCGGCUAACUCUGUGCCAGCAGCCGCGGUAAUACAGAGGGUGCAAGCGUUAAUCGGAAUUACUGGGCGUAAAGCGCGCGUAGGCGGUUUGUUAAGUCGGAUGUGAAAUCCCUGGGCUCAACCUAGGCACUGCAUCCGAUACUGGCUGACUAGAGUGUGGGAGAGGAAGGUAGAAUUCCAGGUGUAGCGGUGAAAUGCGUAGAGAUCUGGAGGAAUACCGAUGGCGAAGGCAGCCUUCUGGCCUAACACUGACGCUGAGGUGCGAAAGCAUGGGGAGCAAACAGGAUUAGAUACCCUGGUAGUCCAUGCUGUAAACGAUGUCAACUAGCCGUUGGGGUCUUUAAGGCUUAGUGGCGUAGCUAACGCGAUAAGUUGACCGCCUGGGGAGUACGGUCGC